RNAcentral lists this ribosomal RNA (305 nucleotides) under uncultured bacterium. RNAcentral's name for it is "bacterial SSU rRNA". It matches the Rfam family "Bacterial small subunit ribosomal RNA", at positions 335 to 656 of the family's 1533-position model. The record is from RNAcentral.
UUCCCUACGGGAGGCAGCAGUCGGGAAUAUUGCGCAAUGGAGGAAACUCUGACGCAGUGACGCCGCGUAUAGGAAGGAGGUUUUCGGAUUGUAAAGCUCUGUUAGCAGGGAAGAGGAAGGACGGUACCUGCAGAGGAAGCCACGGCUAACUACGUGCCAGCAGCCGCGGUAAUACGUAGGUGGCAAGCGUUGUUCGGAAUAACUGGGCGUAAAGGAUGCGUAGGCGGUUAAACAAGUUAUAUGUUAAAUAUAUAGGCUUAACCUGUAGAAAGCAUAUAAAACUGUUUAACUAGAGUGCAGGAGAG